UAGCUCAGAGGCACAGUGCCUGUCUGGCAAAUAUGAGGCCCUGGGUUCAAUUCCCAG
Molecule: transfer RNA, 57 nt
Filed under: Fukomys damarensis (Damara mole-rat)
Lineage: Eukaryota; Metazoa; Chordata; Mammalia; Rodentia; Bathyergidae
Rfam family: tRNA
About the family: Transfer RNA (tRNA) molecules are approximately 80 nucleotides in length. Their secondary structure includes four short double-helical elements and three loops (D, anti-codon, and T loops).
Source: Rfam by way of RNAcentral